Molecule: long non-coding RNA, 692 nt
Filed under: Dromaius novaehollandiae (emu)
Lineage: Eukaryota; Metazoa; Chordata; Aves; Casuariiformes; Dromaiidae
Description: lncRNA (ENSDNVG00000005387.1)
Source: RNAcentral
CGGCACAUUCCAUCUGUUCUGCUCAUCUUUGUCAUAAUCAUCAUUGUUGUAGUGUGGGUAUCACAACUGAACUGCUGCAAGAAGGUGAAUGAAGUGGGCCGAUCCCAUUCCUGCAAUUCACACUGAAAAGAUUUGUCUUCUGCUUCCUUUCGACAGAUAUGCUGUGCAUUGCAGUGUAUGGUCUCUAAGACAGAUGGUGGAAACCUUAAUGUAGACAUGUGGACAGGACAAAACUGUGGGUCAUCCUGUAGGGAACCAAACACAAAACUUGUUGUGAGUCAUGGAGAUAAGGUUCGUGCACUGGUGUUUAAUAAAAUUCUAGGGUUACAAUCCAGUUUACUUUUYGGAGGGUAAUAUAUAACUUUUGUGGAAGAGAAAACUAAAAGCUCGUAGUCCUGGAGAAGUAAGAAUGACCACCCAGAGUGGAAGAAGAUGAAUUCUGACUCAUACAUAGAUGAUGUGUCUCAUUUGGUCCCUGUUUCAUUUAGGUGGCUACACAAUAUGAGGACUUUUCACUGCAGAGCCUCUGAACAAGGAAGCCUUUAGUUCGAGUGAGGAGACCGCAUUAGAUCCCAAUGACUUGCCAAUUAUCUCAGCAGGACCCAUGUCUMUAGCCUCUCUCAGGCACUGAUCCCACCAUGCCAUGGGCUUGGGCCAGGGUCCCGUGUGGCCCAGGAGUGGCGAGUGUGGCA